GGAAGCGUACAUGGCAGUCGAGGGGCAUCGGGAGGGAACUUACUUUCCUUGCCGGCGACCGGCGCACGGGUGAGUAACACGUAUGCAACCUGCCCUCUUCAGGGGGACAACCUUCCGAAAGGGAGGCUAAUCCCGCGUAUAUCGGUUUCGGGCAUCCGUUAUCGAGGAAAGAUUCAUCGGAAGAGGAUGGGCAUGCGGCGCAUUAGCUAGACGGCGGGGUAACGGCCCACCGUGGCGACGAUGCGUAGGGGUUCUGAGAGGAAGGUCCCCCACACUGGUACUGAGACACGGACCAGACUCCUACGGGAGGCAGCAGUGAGGAAUAUUGGUCAAUGGGAGAGAUCCUGAACCAGCCAAGCCGCGUGAGGGAAGACGGCCCUAUGGGUUGUAAACCUCUUUUGUCGGAGAACAAAACCCGGGACGUGUCCCGGACUGCGUGUAUCCGAAGAAAAAGCAUCGGCUAACUCCGUGCCAGCAGCCGCGGUAAUACGGAGGAUGCGAGCGUUAUCCGGAUUUAUUGGGUUUAAAGGGUGCGUAGGCGGUCUGUUAAGUCAGCGGUAAAAUUGCGGGGCUCAACCCCGUCGAGCCGUUGAAACUGGCAGACUUGAGUUGGCGAGAAGUACGCGGAAUGCGCGGUGUAGCGGUGAAAUGCAUAGAUAUCGCGCAGAACUCCGAUUGCGAAGGCAGCGUACCGGCGCCGGACUGACGCUGANGCACGAAAGCGUGGGGAUCGAACAGGAUUAGAUACCC
RNAcentral lists this ribosomal RNA (750 nucleotides) under uncultured bacterium. RNAcentral's name for it is "bacterial SSU rRNA". It matches the Rfam family "Bacterial small subunit ribosomal RNA", at positions 45 to 787 of the family's 1533-position model. The record is from RNAcentral.